UACGGAGGAGGCAAGCGUUAUCCGGAAUUAUUGGGCGUAAAGCGUCCGCAGGUGGCGAUUCAAGUCUGCGGUCAAAGACUGGGGCUUAACCCUGGAAAGGCCGUGGAAACUGAAUAGCUAGAGCGCAGUAGGGGUAGAGGGAAUUCCCGGUGUAGCGGUGAAAUGCGUAGAGCUCGGGAAGAACAUCGGUGGCGAAAGCGCUCUGCUGGACUGCAACUGACACUCAGGGACGAAAGCUAGGGGAGCGAAUGGG
This 253-nucleotide ribosomal RNA is filed under the name uncultured bacterium. RNAcentral describes it as "partial 16S ribosomal RNA". It matches the Rfam family "Bacterial small subunit ribosomal RNA", at positions 524 to 776 of the family's 1533-position model. The record is from RNAcentral.